ACUCGGGUGAUGCUCCUUCUUGGUAAAUCGCUUGAUGGCUCAAGCUGCCUCUUCCCAGCAGGCUCCAGGGCAGAUUUCCAGUCACUUCCCUUUACAAGCACCCCUUUCCCCGGCUCCUUCAGGACAUGGAGUUGACAUUUCUUCUCUGUAAUUAUUUUUUAGUUGACAGACAUGGUUGUUCAAGAAUAAACAAAAAUUUAUUUUUAAACAAGAUUUAUUUAUUUAUCAAAUCAGUGGGGAAAGAGAAAGAGAGACCAUGAAGCAGAGCAUCACUCCAUCACAUGCAGUGCCAAGGACAGAACCCGGGACCUCAUUCUUCUGCUGCUUCAUCUUCGUGUGGCUCCGUGAUGAAUUUCAAAGCAGGCUCUCCUGUGCUUCCUGGGAGGGGUAAGCGCCCGCCGUGUGCCCCAGUGCUGCUCCUCCACCAAGGUCGGCAUGCAGACGAGCUCGGCCCAUGGAGACUCGCAGGGCUCACUGGCCCUGGGACCGGCACCACUCACGUUCUGAAAGCUCCACGGGCAGCACUGCGCGUUUGCACUUAUUUGGAAGCUGUGAGCCUUCUGACUGAAGUCGUCUGCCAUUUACCUCCUCAUCCCCAGCAGCAGCUGCAAAAGUUCUUGCACAUAGAGAAUAGAACAAAAGCUACACAUGUUUAUCUGGAACCAGAUAAGACCUAGAAUUGCCAAUACUAUCUUGAGAAGAAAGAAUAGAGCUGGAGGCAUCACACUCCCAGAUCUCAAAUUGUAUUGUAGGGCUAUUGUGAUCAAAACUGCUUGUUACUGGAACAUGAAUAGACACGAUGACCAGUGGAAUGGAAUUGAGAGCCCAGAAGUAAGCCCCCACACCUAUGGACAUAUAAUCUUUGACAAAGGUGCCCAGACUAUUAGAUGGGUAAAGCAGAGUCUUUUCAACAAAUGGUGUUGGAAAAAAAAAAUGGGUUGAAACAUGUAGAAGAAUGAAGCUGAACCACUAUAUUUCACCAAACACAAAAGUAAAUUCCAAGUGGAUUAAGGACUUGGAUGUUACACCAGAAACUGUCAGAUACUUAGAGGAAAAUAUUGGCAGAAUUCUCUUCUGCAUAAAUUUUAAAGGAAUCUUCAAUGAUACAAAUCCAAUUAUGAAAAAGACUACAACAAAAAUAAACCAGUAGGGCUACAUGAAAUUAAAAAGCUUCUGCAUAGCAAAAGAAAGCACCACCCAAACACAGAGUAGGAGAAGAUCAUUGCAUGCCAGACAUCAGACAAGAGGCUAAUACCCAAAAUAUAUAAGACGUUCACCAAACUCAGCAACAAGAAAACAAAUGACCCCAUCCAGAAAUGGGGAGAAGACAUGGACAGAAUAUUCACCACAGAAGAGAUCCAAAAGGCCAACAGACGUAUGAGAAAAUGCUCCACGUCAUUGAUUGUCAGAGAAAUGCAAAUAAAGACAACAGUGAGCUACCACUUCACUCUUGUGAGAAAGUCACACAUCAGAAAAGGUAGCAGCAGCAAAUGCUGGAGAGGUUGUGGGGACAAAAGGACCCUCCUGCACUGCUGGUAGCAAUGUCAAUUGGUCCAACCUCUGUGGAGAGCAGUCUAGAGAACUCUCACAAGGCUAGAAGUGGACCUACCCUAUGACCCUGCAAUUUCUCUACUGGGGAUAUAUCCUAAGCAACAAACACACCCAUCCAAAAAGAUUUAUGUAUACUCAUGUUCAUAGCAGCACAAUAUGUAAUAGCCCAAAUCUGAAAGCAGCCCAGGUGUCCAACAACAGAUGAGUGGCUGAGCAAGCUGUGGUCUCUAUGCACAAUGUAAUACUACUCAGCUUUUAAAAAUGGUGAAUUCACCUUCUUCACCCCAUCUUAGAUGGUGCUUGAAGGAAUCAUGUUAAGUAACAUCAGUCAGAAAGAGAAGAAUGAAAAUGGGACGAUCCCACUCAUAGAAGUUGAAAAACAAGAUCUGAAGGGAAAACACAAAGCAGAAUUUGGGCUGGAGUUGGUGUAUUGCACCAAAGCAAAAGACUCAGGGGUAGGUGGGGGGGGGGGGGUUUCAGGUCCUGGAUCAUGGUGGCAAAGAGGACCUUGAGGGGGUGGAAUUGUUAUGUGGAAAACUGGGAAAUGUUACACAUGUGCAAACUAUUGUGUUUUACUGUCAACUGUAAACCAUUAAUCCCUCAAUAAAGAAAUAAUAAUAAUGGAACUCGGGUAAUCGCAGUUCACUCAUCCCAAGUGUCUGCAGCAGAAGUGGGACCUAUGGGAUGAUCUCACUCUCAGGCCGAAGUUGAAAAACAAGAUUAGAAAAGAAAACACAAGUCGAACCUGAAAUGGAAUUAGAGUAUUACACCAAAGUAAAAG
Molecule: long non-coding RNA, 2332 nt
Organism: Erinaceus europaeus (western European hedgehog)
Lineage: Eukaryota; Metazoa; Chordata; Mammalia; Eulipotyphla; Erinaceidae
Exons: 3
Source: RefSeq, a predicted model, not a curated record